Molecule: ribosomal RNA, 253 nt
Filed under: uncultured bacterium
Lineage: Bacteria
Description: partial 16S ribosomal RNA
Rfam family: Bacterial small subunit ribosomal RNA
Source: RNAcentral
UACGUAGGGUGCGAGCGUUAAUCGGAAUUACUGGGCGUAAAGGGUGCGCAGGCGGCGUCGCAAGUCAGGCGUGAAAUCCCCGGGCUUAACCUGGGAACUGCGCUCGAAACUACGAUGCUCGAGUGUGGCAGAGGAAGGUGGAAUUCCACGUGUAGCGGUGAAAUGCGUAGAGAUGUGGAGGAACACCGAUGGCGAAGGCAGCCUUCUGGGCCAACACUGACGCUCAUGCACGAAAGCGUGGGGAGCAAACAGG